This 507-nucleotide ribosomal RNA is filed under the name uncultured bacterium. RNAcentral describes it as "bacterial SSU rRNA". It matches the Rfam family "Bacterial small subunit ribosomal RNA", at positions 30 to 518 of the family's 1533-position model. The record is from RNAcentral.
CGAACGCUGGCGGCGUGCCUAAUACAUGCAAGUCGAGCGAAUGACGAGGAGCUUGCUCCUCUGAUUUAGCGGCGGACGGGUGAGUAACACGUGGGCAACCUGCCCUGUAGACUGGGAUAACUUCGGGAAACCGGAGCUAAUACCGGAUAAUCCAUUUCACCUCAUGGUGAAAUGUUGAAAGGCGCAUCUCGCGUCACUACAGGAUGGGCCCGCGGUGCAUUAGCUAGUUGGUGGGGUAACGGCCUACCAAGGCAACGAUGCAUAGCCGACCUGAGAGGGUGAUCGGCCACAUUGGGACUGAGACACGGCCCAAACUCCUACGGGAGGCAGCAGUAGGGAAUCUUCCACAAUGGACGAAAGUCUGAUGGAGCAAACCGGCCACGUGAGUGAUGAAGGUUUUCGGAUCGUAAAACUCUGUUGUAAGGGAAGAACAAGUACGUUAGGAAAUGAACGUACCUUGACGGUACCUUAUUAGAAAGCCACGGCUAACUACGUGCCAGCCGCCGC